RNAcentral lists this unclassified non-coding RNA (266 nucleotides) under uncultured fungus. RNAcentral describes it as "partial contains small subunit ribosomal RNA, internal transcribed spacer 1, and 5.8S ribosomal RNA". The stretch from base 1 to 73 matches the Rfam family "Eukaryotic small subunit ribosomal RNA", at positions 1759 to 1831 of the family's 1831-position model. The record is from RNAcentral. Lineage: Eukaryota; Fungi.
CCAAACUUGGUCAUUUAGAGGAAGUAAAAGUCGUAACAAGGUUUCCGUAGGUGAACCUGCGGAAGGAUCAUCAAAGAUUCGUGCUUUAUCCCACACACCUGUGGCCUGUUGUUGUUUGUUGGCGGCGUGAGCCCAAGGCUCGCGCCGCCAUCAUCCAUCAUCAUCUUGCAUACACACACCUCGAACCACUUUCUGAUACAAAAACCAAAAAAAACACAACUUUUAACAACGGAUCUCUUGGUUCUCGCAUCGAUGAAGAACGCAGC